Anguilla anguilla (European eel) is the source of this 340-nucleotide long non-coding RNA. RefSeq lists it as uncharacterized. The record is from RefSeq and is a predicted model, not a curated record. Lineage: Eukaryota; Metazoa; Chordata; Actinopteri; Anguilliformes; Anguillidae. The transcript has 3 exons.
GUGGUGCGGGGAUCUGGCCGGCGCCCUUACUCAGGGGAAUGUUCCGGAUUCUGUCUCCUGUGCGAGACGUUUUCUGUAUACAGCUGGGUGCUUGCUGGAGGACUUUGUGUUGGUGCAUUUCUCACGCGUGUAGGCACUGCAGUGUAUGUGUUCCACGUUGGCCACGCAGAGCAGGUGGCUGGUUUUCAGACCUAUGACCUGUUCUGACCCUAGAAACCAGACACCAAGAUGGAUGGAGCUGCUGCUAGAAAGGGAGCACAAAGGCGGCAGCCCCAAGGUGAGCCGGCCCGGCGCAGCCUGGUGUAGGGCCUCAGUCAGCCGGCCUCUCAAUGCCGCAGUA